Molecule: long non-coding RNA, 274 nt
Organism: Rhipicephalus sanguineus (brown dog tick)
Lineage: Eukaryota; Metazoa; Arthropoda; Arachnida; Ixodida; Ixodidae
Exons: 3
Source: RefSeq, a predicted model, not a curated record
GAACGAGACAGACCGAGGAGGUAUAGACCGCUCGCGAGUCCCGGGCAAUAACGUUGGAUGCUAGCGUCGGCGGCGACGUCGAGAGCGAAGGUAUAUACACCGACCAUGAGCGGCUACCUCGGGGACUUGAGCGAGCGUCAGCAGGAGGCCCUCGAAAAGUUUCGUCAUGCUGUGAAAGAUGUCAGGAAGCCUUCGCACACGGACGCAUUCUUGCUGCGCUGGCUGCGAGCGCGGGACUUCGACGUGGCCAAGGCGGAAAUCAUGUACCGAAAGG